Molecule: long non-coding RNA, 1415 nt
Organism: Carya illinoinensis
Lineage: Eukaryota; Viridiplantae; Streptophyta; Magnoliopsida; Fagales; Juglandaceae
Exons: 3
Source: RefSeq, a predicted model, not a curated record
GUUGCUGCAUCCUUCCCCACGUUGAAGCUUCAACCCGCGGAUCACGCCGCACCUUCUCCAUAAAGUUUCAUCACGCGGCCACCACGACCCUCAGCAGCACUUCCUAUAUAUACACUACCAUGAAACAGCCCAGCCACCGUGUUAGCUCCACACGCACGGCCAAUAGCCAAGCUGCACCGUCGUGGGGCAGAUCCACUGCAAAUGCUGCCGAGAUCUUCGCUGCCCUACCAACGCGUCACUGUAGGAACCCACUGCUAAACCACCGCAGCCCAUUUUUUUCCACCACACUUUCCAACCCUCACAGUAAGCUUUCAUCUUCUUCCUCUAGAUCCUACUGCACAUACACAUAUUUCUCUCUUCUGCAUAAAGGGAUUGAUGCAGCCUUGAGUAUCUUUUUUAGUGAAACUCUUCCACACCGUGAGCCUCACUUCUAGAAUAAAACCUCCGUGUGAUAGCUAGCAUUUUCUCUGCACGACCAUUUGCUAGCCAUUGCCCAGUUACACGAGAGCCAACCACCGAAAACCACUCAGCCAUCCCGUGUUUCGACCAUCUCCUGCAACCAUGAGAACCAGUAACUUAAGUCUAGCUCAGCCACAUGAAACCAAACCCACCCCUGUUUUUUAUUCCCUAAAAUAGAGCAAGGGAAGCUCUCCCCAUGCUCUCGGUUUCCAGCCUUGCUACACGCCGGAAACAACCCAAAAAAUCCACAGAAACUGACAUCUGUUUCCCCCUAGGGUCGGUCGUUCGGCAAGCCGCGUGCACAGCCUCCCGGCCGUGUCUCUGCCAUCUUUCAGCUGCCCCCACGGCUUGGGGCUCCGAGAAUAAUAAGGAGAAGAUUCACAUUCUGUUUCUACUCAGUUGGCCGCCAGGGUUUGUACGAACCUACCACGGGGGUUACACAUGGAAUUCUAUUUUGAUGUGAUGUUUCAGUUAUGUUGUGCCAAAGGAACUUUGAAUAAGAAUUUUUUUUGAAACUUUCGCUAUGAUAUUUUUGAUAACAUGUUCUGAUUCUGCAUUCUGAAACUAAAACCAUUUUGUUAUGCAUUUUGAACACUGUAAAUGCUCAUGUUUGCCCACUGGUAUAUGUUCUCUGUUUACUGAGUUGUUGAUAACUCACCCUUUAUCUCCAAAUAUUUUUCAGAUAAUUUUGAUAGUUCGGCUGGAGAACAAGAAUAGGAAGUUUUAACAAGAUGUGAUGAUUGUAAUGGAAUAAGUGUCCGAGGGUACAAGUGCUUAUUUGAGAGUUGUAGGUAGUAAAUUGAUUUAUUUUUUGGGAUAUGUUGAUUUGAUGAGUUAAGGAUAUUUUCGAGUCUUUGGGGAGUUUUUAAAAUUAUGUUAUUGAGAAUUUCUUUGUAGUCCCUUUGAAGGAACAUAGAUAUUUGGGUUAAGUGAAUAAAUUAAUAUUUUAUGGAGUU